AUUUUGGAUUGUCCCCAACCUUUGUCAUGUUUGUUAUGGGAAAUGUUUAAUUAGAAAACCUCAAAUUCACAUGUUCAUGAAAUGGUAUAUCAUUUUUUAUCUUUCUUGUAAAAUGUUCCUUGCUAAUCAUAUCCAUUGUCACGGCUGUAAAAACCUACAUGGUAUAAAACUAACCAUGCUAACUGUUGGUUGACAUGUUUAUUUCUAUGUUUGCACAUUUAUCUUGCAGUUCUUUAUUAAUUUAAAACUAAUAACUGUUUUGUCAAUAUAAGUUUUCUUGCUGAUCGACUUGCAUCAUUUGCUGUAGAUUUACUGGGUAUUGAACAAGAUCAUUUAUUAGUUGUAUUUUUUUUCAGUUUGGGAAGAACAUGUAAUCAUGUCGCUGGACUCCUUUUCCGAGUUGAGGCUGCAAACAAACUAGGUGCAUCUGCAUGUACUUCCCUCCCCUGCACAUGGAAAGUACCGUCAAGAAUAAAGGGAGUGAAGCCAACUAAAAUUAAAGAUUUGAGAAUCUUCAAGUCAAGACAUGGACAAUCAGAUAGUAAAAGACCUUUAGUUUGCCAGUCCAAGUUGCAGUACCAGCCCAUACCUGAAAGUAGAGACAACCUGGACACUUUUUCAGCAGUACUCAAGAAGUCUAUCCCAAAUGCUUGUAUUUUCAAAGGUUUUGUCACAGAAAGUGUAGAAGAAACAGUAACCAAACCAGUUAGUGAAGACAUCACAGCCUACACAAUACAAGACAUUAAAACAAAAUGUAACAACCAAACUGACUUUUUAAGCAACAUGCCAAAGUAUACUCAGAGUGAAAUUCAAAAAGUAAUGCGUUCUACGGUUGGUCAGUGCAGCAAUGAAAAAUGGCAUGAAAUAAGAUCGGGUCGUCUGACAUCAUCGAAUUUCUACGAAAUACAUACAAAAGUGCAGAGUUAUAAGAAAAAAGAGGGUGUUACUUUUGAUCCAUUAAUUUCACGACUCAUGGGAUACAAAAAGUUAAAUCCUAACAUAAGGUCUCUUAAGCAUGGGCGAGAAAUGGAACCAGAAGCCAAAUCGUGUUACCUUGUGGGUAUGAAGAAAGCAGGCCACACAGAUGUUAUUAUUACAGAAUGUGGAAUAUUUCUUGAUAAUGACAUGACUUAUCUUGGGGCUAGCCCUGAUUUACUCGUUGAUUGUGAUUGUUGUGGCUCAGGUGUUGUUGAAAUUAAAUGUCCUCUUGUUCCAAAAUGUGGCAAAUGUACAACAUUUUGCAGUUGUUCUAUUCCAGACUAUUUGUAUGUUGAUGGAACUAAGUACAGUUUAAAAAAAAAACACAAAUAUUAUGGCCAAAUUCAAGGCCAGUUAGCAAUAACUGGAAGGAAAUAUUGUGACUUUUUUAUAUAUACAUGUAAUGGAACAUUUUGUCAGAGAAUUGUUUUUGACAAACCUUAUUAUGAGGAAAUUGUUGAUAGUUUAAAAUUA
Molecule: long non-coding RNA, 1452 nt
Organism: Mytilus californianus (California mussel)
Lineage: Eukaryota; Metazoa; Mollusca; Bivalvia; Mytilida; Mytilidae
Exons: 3
Source: RefSeq, a predicted model, not a curated record